This 243-nucleotide ribosomal RNA is filed under the name uncultured bacterium. Its description in RNAcentral is "partial 16S ribosomal RNA". It matches the Rfam family "Bacterial small subunit ribosomal RNA", at positions 523 to 763 of the family's 1533-position model. The record is from RNAcentral.
AUACGAAGGGGGCUAGCGUUGCUCGGGAAUGACUGGGCGUAAAGGGCGUGUUAGGCGGUUUACACAGUCAGAUGUGAAAUCCCCGGGCUUAACCUGGGAGCUGCAUUUGAUACGUGUAGACUAGAGUGUGAGAGAGGGUUGUGGAAUUCCCAGUGUAGAGGUGAAAUUCGUAGAUAUUGGGAAGAACACCGGUGGCGAAGGCGGCAACCUGGCUCAUUACUGACGCUGAGGCGCGAAAGACGU